This 481-nucleotide ribosomal RNA is filed under the name uncultured bacterium. RNAcentral's name for it is "partial 16S ribosomal RNA". It matches the Rfam family "Bacterial small subunit ribosomal RNA", at positions 28 to 507 of the family's 1533-position model. The record is from RNAcentral.
GAUGAACGCUGGCGGCGUGCUUAACACAUGCAAGUCGAACGGAGCACUUUAUUUGAUUUCCUUCGGUACUGAUUAUUUUGUGACUGAGUGGCGGACGUGUGCGUAACGCGUGGGUAACCUGCCUUGUACAGGGGGAUAACAGUUCGAAACGGCUGCUAAUACCGCAUAAGCGCCCAGCAUCGCAUGCUGCAGUGUGGAAACCUCCGGUGGUAUAGGAUGGACCCGCGUUGGAUUAGCUAGUUGGUGAGGUAACGGCCCACCAAGGCGACGAUCCAUAGCCGAACUGAGAGGGGGACCGGACACAUUGGGACUGAGACACGGCCCAAACUCCGACGGGAGGCAGCAGUGGGGAAUAUUGCACAAUGGGCGAAAGCCUGAUGCAGCGACGUCGGGGGAGAGAAGAAGUAUGUCGGUAAGUAAAGCUCUAUCAGCAGGGAAGAUAAUGACGGUACCUGACUAAGAAGCACCGGCUAAAUACGUG